Molecule: ribosomal RNA, 428 nt
Filed under: Fufius atramentarius
Lineage: Eukaryota; Metazoa; Arthropoda; Arachnida; Araneae; Cyrtaucheniidae
Description: partial 16S ribosomal RNA
Rfam family: Archaeal large subunit ribosomal RNA
Source: RNAcentral
UUCUAAUAGUAAUAACUAUUAGUAAAACCUGCUCAAUGAAUUUUAAAUAGCCGCAGUCUCCUGUGCUAAGGUAGCAUAAUAACUUGCCUUUUCAUUGAAGGCUAGAAUGAACGGUUUAACAUAUAAUCUUCUUUAUUAAUCCCUUUAAUUUAAUCUUAUCAAUUAGUAAAAAAGCUAAUAUUCUCAGAGGGACGACAAGACCCUAUUAAACUUCACUUUUGUUUUACUGGGGCGGUAAAAAAUUCAUUUCAUUUAACCUUUUCUUCUAUCCUCCUAUUAACUAGAUAAACAAGUUACUAUAGGGAUAACAGCAUAAUUUUUUCCUAAAGACCUUAUUUAAGAAAAAGAUUGUGACCUCGAUGUUGAAUAGUUUCCUUUUUAGAGCAAGCACUAAAAAAGAAAGUCUGUUCGACUUUUAAUUUUCUACA